RNAcentral lists this ribosomal RNA (515 nucleotides) under uncultured bacterium. Its description in RNAcentral is "partial 16S ribosomal RNA". It matches the Rfam family "Bacterial small subunit ribosomal RNA", at positions 28 to 523 of the family's 1533-position model. The record is from RNAcentral.
GACGAACGCUGGCGGCGUGCCUAAUACAUGCAAGUCGAGCGGACUUUCAAGAAGCUUGCUUUUUGAAAGUUAGCGGCGGACGGGUGAGUAACACGUGGGCAACCUGCCUGUAAGACGGGGAUAACUCCGGGAAACCGGGGCUAAUACCGGAUAAUAUCUUUCUUCGCAUGAAGGAAGGUUGAAAGGCGGCGCAAGCUGCCGCUUGCAGAUGGGCCCGCGGCGCAUUAGCUAGUUGGUGAGGUAACGGCUCACCAAGGCGACGAUGCGUAGCCGACCGGGGAGGGUGAUCGGCCACACUGGGACUGAGACACGGCCCAGACUCCUACGGGAGGCAGCAGUAGGGAAUCUUCCGCAAUGGACGAAAGUCUGGCGGAGCAACGCCGCGUGAGCGAAGAAGGUCUUCGGAUCGUAAAGCUCUGUUGUCAGGGAAGAACAAGUACCGUCCGAAUAGGGCGGUACCUUGACGGUACCUGACCAGAAAGCCACGGCUAACUACGUGCCAGCCGCCGCGGUAA